RNAcentral lists this long non-coding RNA (401 nucleotides) under Hordeum vulgare. RNAcentral's name for it is "long non-coding RNA (HVUL_LNC016534)". The record is from RNAcentral. Lineage: Eukaryota; Viridiplantae; Streptophyta; Magnoliopsida; Poales; Poaceae.
GCGGGUAUGAGAUGGAUCGGUGCGUUGGGGCAGUGUCGAUCCAAAUCUAAAACAGGACGGACGCCGGACGGGCGGCCGAUCCAAACAGAAAAAAAGCGGACAAAUUCGCCGUUCGUUUGGGUCGGUCCGUUAAAAUUGUUCUUACAUGUCCAUCGAGAAAUGCUUUUGAUGAUCUUAUCAAUGAUAGGUCGGAUAUCUUCUCUCCUUAGCUUUUUAUAUUCCAAAUGUACGGGAAAUACUCUCUGGUUCCUGCAUGUAUAUACACCUCAUAUGUCAUAUGGGAAAGAGAAUUUAAUCAUAAAAAAUAAAAAUAAACGGAAGUUUUUCUAUGAUAAGCUUAACUUUCUUUUGCACUAGUAUAUACAUUUUCACUAAUAGAAAACCAACGGUGACUUUAGAGC